This 591-nucleotide long non-coding RNA is filed under the name Mytilus galloprovincialis (Mediterranean mussel). The record is from RNAcentral. Lineage: Eukaryota; Metazoa; Mollusca; Bivalvia; Mytilida; Mytilidae.
AUGAGAAUAUAUAUUGUCAAUAUAAACAAAGAUCAGCUGAUUUUAUAAUAAAUUUGGUUGUUUGCCUUUAAGCAAUACAUUAAACACAUUAAGUUGGUCAUCCGAAAACAAACUAAGAUCUGUAUGUAACAGACUACAGAUAAAUAUUGACCUCCAGUCAAAUCCACAGGCUAUUUUUCAAAAUUAAAUAACCGUCUUCUAACAUUUUUAUAAUAUAUGAAAAGAAAAUCAUUGUUUAAAUGUAACCAAGUGUUUUGGCAACUUCCCUUAUUUUAUUUUUUUAAUUGAUUUUUUUCAAUUUUUUUCUUUUGAUGUUUUUUGCCAGAAAAAUGACAUUAUAAAAACUACUGCUAAAUAAAGUUUUUGCCUGGACACCUUUUACUGGGAGAUUAAAAGGAAAUCUUAGUAGUUUGUAACACAUAUACCUUUUUUUUUUUUUUUUUGGGGGGGGGGUAAUUUCUAUAUAUUUGCAAUUUUGACAUCAAUGCAGUUUGAUUGAAACUUUAGCCAUGAUAAUCCGUCUUAAAUUCAAAUUCAAAUUGCAAAGUAUAACACUUCUUUCUAAGGCAGCAACCAUUUGAUUUUCUGGGG